This 115-nucleotide ribosomal RNA is filed under the name Methanothermococcus thermolithotrophicus. Lineage: Archaea; Methanobacteriati; Methanobacteriota; Methanococci; Methanococcales; Methanococcaceae. The record is from RNAcentral.
UAUAACGGUCAUAGCGGAGGAGCCACAUCCGAUCCCGUCCCGAUCUCGGAAAUUAAGCCCUCCAGCGAUACCCUAAGUACUGCCAUUUGGUGGGAACAGGGUGACGCUGUUGAUC